ACGAACGCUGGCGGCAGGCCUAACACAUGCAAGUCGAGCGCCGUAGCAAUACGGAGCGGCAGACUGGUGAGUAACGCGUGGGAACCUUCCCAGUGGUACGGAAUAGCUCAGGGAAACUUGAGGUAAUACCGCAUACGCCCUUCGGGGUAAAGAUUUAUCGCCAAAAGAGUAGCCCGCGCUGGAUUAGCUAGUUGGUGAGGUAAUGGCUCACCAAGGCGACGAUCCAUAGCUGGUCUGAGAGGACGAUCAGCCACACUGGGACUGAGACACGGCCCAGACUCCUACGGGAGGCAGCAGUUAGGAAUAUUGGACAAUGGGGGCAACCCUGAUCCAGCCAUGCCGCGUGAGUGAUGAAGGCCUUCGGGUUGUAAAGCUCUUUAGCCGAUGAUUAUAAUGACUGUAGUCGGAAAAUAAGCCCCGGCUAACUUCGU
RNAcentral lists this ribosomal RNA (431 nucleotides) under uncultured bacterium. RNAcentral's name for it is "bacterial SSU rRNA". It matches the Rfam family "Bacterial small subunit ribosomal RNA", at positions 29 to 506 of the family's 1533-position model. The record is from RNAcentral.